Oncorhynchus tshawytscha (Chinook salmon) is the source of this 1491-nucleotide long non-coding RNA. RefSeq lists it as uncharacterized. The transcript is spliced from 2 exons. Lineage: Eukaryota; Metazoa; Chordata; Actinopteri; Salmoniformes; Salmonidae. The record is from RefSeq and is a predicted model, not a curated record.
GCGGGGGGAGAUUGUCACAUUAGAGGAGACUGGAGAUUUAAUGAACACCAGAGAGAGGUCAGACUCUCACUCUGACAGCGGGAAGAGUCCUUCAAGGGAACCAGACCCAGAGACGCCCAAACCAGCGGGACGACACCACACCUCCCAUUGUGGAAAGAGUUGUAAGAGGUUAUGGACACUAAAAGAGCAUGGGAGAACACACAUAGGAGAAAAGCCUAACCACCGCUCAGACUUUGGGAAGAGGUUUUGCCAGAUAGACAGCCUGAAACGACAUAAGAGAACACACACAGGAGAAAAUCCUCACCACUGCUUCCAGUGUGGCAAAGGGUUUUACCCGUUUAUGUUACCUGAAAAUACAUGAGCGAAUACACUCUGGAGUGAAGCCUCAUCACUGUUCCCAAUGUGGACAGAGUUUUACCCAUUCAGGAGCCUGAAAAAACGAGAAAACACACUCAGCAGAGAAGACCUACCACUGCUACCUACACUCCCAGUGUAGAAAAAUAUUUAUCAGUUUAUGGCACCUGAGAAUGCAUGAGAGGGCACACACAGGAGGGGAUAAGGCCUACCACUGCUCCCAGUGUGAAAAGAGUUUUACCCAGUUAGGGAACCUGAGGACGCAUGAGAGGGCACACACAGGAGAGAAGCUUUAUCAUUCUUCCCACUGUGGAAAGAGUUUUACCCGGUGGGGGAGCCUGAAAAAGCAUGAGUGGAUACACAUACGUGAAAAGCCCUACCAGUGCUCCUUGUGUGGAAAGAGUUUUACCCAGUUAGGAAACCUGAACCAGCAUGAGAGGACACACACAGGAGGGGAUAAGACCUACCACUGCUCUCAGUGUGGAAAGAGUUUUACCCGGUUAAGGCAGCUGAAUAAGCAUGAAAGAAUACACACACAGGAGGAGAAGACAUACCACUGCUCUCAGUGUGGAAAGACAUUUUCCCAGUCAGAGGACCUGAAAUCACAUGAGAGAAUAGAGAGGCUGUGUUCUGACUUAUGUUUUUGAUUGAGAAUGUGUUUUUGUUUAUGCCACACAAAACCAAAUGGUAUGUAUGAAAGCUUUCGAAAAAAAGAAUAGGUCUACUUUUUAUUUUUUUAUCGAGACCAUGAUCAUAUAUAAAAAAUCUGAUAUUAACAUUUUGUUUUGAUUAGGAACUUUGAUUGACUGGAUAGUAUCAAUCCUUAGAUGUUCAUUUUAUGAUUUUGGGAUAUUUCAAAAUGUAAAUAAUUAAGUAGAUUUAUUGGAAGUUGAAUUUCUUUGUUUUAACCUUAAUCUCUGGAAUGUAGUUGUUUCAUUUCAUUCAUUUGUGUACGAUUCAUCAAGCUAAAAGUUGUAUGAAAAUGUAAUGACGUAGUUCUGAUGACAUUAAGUUGUUGACAUGAAAAACAUUCAUUACCUCGUGAAUAUUCCCAUCAGUAUUAUUCCACCAUGUCAGAGAAAACUCAGGUGUUGAUUGUAAAAAGGAUUUGAUUAAAUGCAAAAUAUUGUGUUUGAA